This is a transfer RNA of 101 nucleotides. It matches the Rfam family "tRNA". Rfam says of the family: Transfer RNA (tRNA) molecules are approximately 80 nucleotides in length. Their secondary structure includes four short double-helical elements and three loops (D, anti-codon, and T loops). Further hydrogen bonds mediate the characteristic L-shaped molecular structure. tRNAs have two regions of fundamental functional importance: the anti-codon, which is responsible for specific mRNA codon recognition, and the 3' end, to which the tRNAs corresponding amino acid is attached (by aminoacyl-tRNA synthetases). tRNAs cope with the degeneracy of the genetic code in two manners: having more than one tRNA (with a specific anti-codon) for a particular amino acid; and 'wobble' base-pairing, i.e. permitting non-standard base-pairing at the 3rd anti-codon position. The record is from Rfam.
GCCGGGGUGGCCGAGCGGCCUAAGGCGGCGGACUCGAGAUCCCACGAUCCAAGAAAUCCGUUGCCCGCAAGGGCGCCCGGGUUCAAAUCCCGGCCCCGGCG